Molecule: ribosomal RNA, 205 nt
Filed under: uncultured bacterium
Lineage: Bacteria
Description: partial 16S ribosomal RNA
Rfam family: Bacterial small subunit ribosomal RNA
Source: RNAcentral
CGCGGGCGGCUUGGCAAGUCGGGUGUGAAAUCCCGGGGCUCAACCCCGUGACUGCAUUCGAUACUGUCAGGCUAGAGGUAGGUAGGGGAGAUCGGAAUUCCUGGUGUAGCGGUGAAAUGCGCAGAUAUCAGGAGGAACACCGGUGGCGAAGGCGGAUCUCUGGGCCUUACCUGACGCUCAGGCGCGAAAGCUAGGGGAGCGAACA